This 433-nucleotide ribosomal RNA is filed under the name uncultured bacterium. RNAcentral describes it as "partial 16S ribosomal RNA". It matches the Rfam family "Bacterial small subunit ribosomal RNA", at positions 29 to 507 of the family's 1533-position model. The record is from RNAcentral.
AACGAACGCUGGCGGCAUGCCUAACACAUGCAAGUCGAACGAGACCUUCGGGUCUAGUGGCGCACGGGUGCGUAACACGUGGGAAUCUGCCCUUUGCUUCGGAAUAACAGUUAGAAAUGACUGCUAAUACCGGAUGAUGUCGAAAGACCAAAGAUUUAUCGGCAAAGGAUGAGCCCGCGUAGGAUUAGGUAGUUGGUGGGGUAAAGGCCUACCAAGCCGACGAUCCUUAGCUGGUCUGAGAGGAUGAUCAGCCACACUGGGACUGAGACACGGCCCAGACUCCUACGGGAGGCAGCAGUGGGGAAUAUUGGACAAUGGGCGAAAGCCUGAUCCAGCAAUGCCGCGUGAGUGAUGAAGGCCUUAGGGUUGUAAAGCUCUUUUACCAGGGAUGAUAAUGACAGUACCUGGGGAAUAAGCUCCGGCUAACUCCGUG